This 160-nucleotide ribosomal RNA is filed under the name uncultured Comamonas sp. Its description in RNAcentral is "partial 16S ribosomal RNA". It matches the Rfam family "Bacterial small subunit ribosomal RNA", at positions 355 to 507 of the family's 1533-position model. The record is from RNAcentral. Lineage: Bacteria; Pseudomonadati; Pseudomonadota; Betaproteobacteria; Burkholderiales; Comamonadaceae.
UGGGGAAUAUUGGACAAUGGGCGCAAGCCUGAUCCAGCCAUUCCGCGUGCAGGAUGAAGGCCCUCGGGUUGUAAACUGCUUUUGUACGGAACGAAAAGGCUCUGGUUAAUACCUGGGGCUCAUGACGGUGCCGUAAGAAUAAGCACCGGCUAACUACGUG